GACGAACCGUACAAACGUUAUUCGGAAUCACUGGGCUUAAAGGGUGCGUAGGCGGCGCGGUAAGUAGGGUGUGAAAUCCCUCGGCUCAACCGAGGAAUUGCGCCCUAAACUACCGUGCUCGAGGGAGAUAGAGGUGAGCGGAACUUAGGGUGGAGCGGUGAAAUGCGUUGAUAUCCUAAGGAACACCGGUGGCGAAAGCGGCUCACUGGAUCUCUUCUGACGCUGAGGCACGAAAGCGAGGGUAGCGAACGGG
Molecule: ribosomal RNA, 253 nt
Filed under: uncultured bacterium
Lineage: Bacteria
Description: partial 16S ribosomal RNA
Rfam family: Bacterial small subunit ribosomal RNA
Source: RNAcentral